AUUGAACGCUGGCGGAAUGCUUUACACAUGCAAGUCGAACGGUAGAGGGGGCAACCCCUUGAGAGUGGCGAACGGGUGAGUAAUAUAUCGGAACGUGCCCGGUCGUGGGGGAUAACGUAGCGAAAGCUACGCUAAUACCGCAUACGAUCUACGGAUGAAAGCGGGGGAUCGCAAGACCUCGCGCGAUUGGAGCGGCCGAUAUCAGAUUAGGUAGUUGGUGAGGUAAAGGCUCACCAAGCCGACGAUCUGUAGCUGGUCUGAGAGGACGACCAGCCACACUGGAACUGAGACACGGUCCAGACUCCUACGGGAGGCAGCAGUGGGGAAUUUUGGACAAGUGGACGCAAGCCUGAUCCAGCAAUGCCGCGUGCAGGAUGAAGG
RNAcentral lists this ribosomal RNA (381 nucleotides) under uncultured bacterium. RNAcentral describes it as "bacterial SSU rRNA". It matches the Rfam family "Bacterial small subunit ribosomal RNA", at positions 30 to 414 of the family's 1533-position model. The record is from RNAcentral.